This 278-nucleotide ribosomal RNA is filed under the name uncultured bacterium. RNAcentral describes it as "partial 16S ribosomal RNA". It matches the Rfam family "Bacterial small subunit ribosomal RNA", at positions 82 to 354 of the family's 1533-position model. The record is from RNAcentral.
CUCCCGCCGGCGACCGGCGCACGGGUGAGUAACACGUAUGAAACCUGCCCGUAGCAGGGGGAUAAGCGGAAGAAAUUCCGUCUAAUACCGCGUAACAACCCAUGGAGGCAUCUCUGUGGGUUUAAAGGAAGCGAUUCCGGCUACGGAUGGUCAUGCGUCGCAUUAGCUUGUUGGCGGGGUAACGGCCCACCAAGGCGACGAUGCGGUAGGGGUUCUGAGAGGAACGGUCCCCCACACUGGUACUGAGACACGGACCAGACUCCUACGGGAGGCAGCAG